GACGAACGCUGGCGGCGUGCUUAACACAUGCCAGUCGAACGGAAAGGCCCUGCUUUUGUGGGGUGCUCGAGUGGCGAACGGGUGAGUAACACGUGAGUAACCUGCCCUUGACUUUAGGAUAACUUCAGGAAACUGGGGCUAAUACCGGAUAGGAGCUCCUGCUGCAUGGUGGGGGUUGGAAAGUUUCGGCGGUUGGGGAUGGACUCGCGGCUUAUCAGCUUGUUGGUGGGGUAGUGGCUUACCAAGGCUUUGACGGGUAGCCGGCCUGAGAGGGUGACCGGCCACAUUGGGACUGAGAUACGGCCCAGACUCCUACGGGAGGCAGCAGUGGGGAAUAUUGCACAAUGGGCGGAAGCCUGAUGCAGCAACGCCGCGUGCGGGAUGACAGCCUUCGGGUUGUAAACCGCUUUCGCCUGUGACGAAGCGUGAGUGACGGUAAUGGGUAAAGAAGCACCGGCUAACUACGUG
RNAcentral lists this ribosomal RNA (468 nucleotides) under uncultured bacterium. RNAcentral's name for it is "partial 16S ribosomal RNA". It matches the Rfam family "Bacterial small subunit ribosomal RNA", at positions 28 to 507 of the family's 1533-position model. The record is from RNAcentral.